This 85-nucleotide transfer RNA is filed under the name Planctomycetota bacterium. Its description in RNAcentral is "Planctomycetes bacterium tRNA-Leu". It matches the Rfam family "tRNA". From Rfam's summary of the family: Transfer RNA (tRNA) molecules are approximately 80 nucleotides in length. Lineage: Bacteria; Pseudomonadati; Planctomycetota. The record is from RNAcentral.
GCGGGUGUGGUGGAAUUGGUAGACACGCUUGAUUUAGGAUCAAGUGUCGAAAGGCAUGGGGGUUCGAAACCCUCCACCCGUACAA